CCUUCGCUUUCACGCUUUUCACAGGCACUGCUGCUGGUCCCUGUUGUACCCCUUUUCCUGCAUUCCCCGAGCAAUCUGCUCUUAGAUGUCUAAGAUAUUUACUGCUGC
Molecule: non-coding RNA, 108 nt
Organism: Chelonoidis abingdonii (Abingdon island giant tortoise)
Lineage: Eukaryota; Metazoa; Chordata; Testudines; Testudinidae
Source: RefSeq, a predicted model, not a curated record